Molecule: ribosomal RNA, 438 nt
Filed under: uncultured bacterium
Lineage: Bacteria
Description: bacterial SSU rRNA
Rfam family: Bacterial small subunit ribosomal RNA
Source: RNAcentral
CCUACGGGAGGCAGCAGUGGGGGAUAUUGCACAAUGGGCGAAAGCCUGAUGCAGCGACGCCGCGUGAGGGAAGACGGUCUUCGGAUUGUAAACCUCUGUCUUUGGGGAAGAAAAUGACGGUACCCAAAGAGGAAGCUCCGGCUAACUACGUGCCAGCAGCCGCGGUAAUACGUAGGGAGCAAGCGUUGUCCGGAAUUACUGGGUGUAAAGGGAGCGUAGGCGGGAUGGCAAGUAGAAUGUUAAAUCCAUCGGCUCAACCGGUGGCUGCGUUCUAAACUGCCGUUCUUGAGUGAAGUAGAGGCAGGCGGAAUUCCUAGUGUAGCGGUGAAAUGCGUAGAUAUUAGGAGGAACACCAGUGGCGAAGGCGGCCUGCUGGGCUUUAACUGACGCUGAGGCUCGAAAGCGUGGGGAGCAAACAGGAUUAGAUACCCGGGUAGU